CAAAGCAACAGCUUUAUCUUUGUAGAGCUUUUGCUGAGCAACAGAACCUGAUGGACUGUCAUUAACUCAAGAAUCUAAAACCACUGGAAAUUGUGAUGAGGACCUUUUUCUUGUGCUACAAUGA
Lonchura striata (white-rumped munia) is the source of this 124-nucleotide long non-coding RNA. RefSeq lists it as uncharacterized. The record is from RefSeq and is a predicted model, not a curated record. NCBI's taxonomy places the organism in Eukaryota, Metazoa, Chordata, Aves, Passeriformes, Estrildidae.